UGGGGAAUUUUGGACAAUGGGGGCAACCCUGAUCCAGCGAUGCCGCGUGAGUGAAGAAGGCCUUCGGGUUGUAAAGCUCUUUUGUUGGGGAAGAAAAGGUAGCUGCUAAUAUCGGCUAUUGCUGACGGUACCCAAAGAAUAAGCACCGGCUAACUACGUGCCAGCAGCCGCGGUAAUACGUAGGGUGCAAGCGUUAAUCGGAAUUACUGGGCGUAAAGGGUGCGCAGGCGGUUAUGUAAGUCUGACGUGAAAUCCCUGGGCUUAACCCGGGAAUGGCGUUGGAGACUGCAUAGCUAGAGUGUGUCAGAGGGGGGUAGAAUUCCACGUGUAGCAGUGAAAUGCGUAGAGAUGUGGAGGAACACCGAUGGCGAAGGCAGCCCCCUGGGAUAACACUGACGCUCAGGCACGAAAGCGUGGGGAGCAAACAGGAUUAGAUACCCCCGUAGUCC
Molecule: ribosomal RNA, 449 nt
Filed under: uncultured bacterium
Lineage: Bacteria
Description: bacterial SSU rRNA
Rfam family: Bacterial small subunit ribosomal RNA
Source: RNAcentral